GAGAGAGACAGAGAAAGUGAAAGGGAGAAUGAGAGACAGGGAAAGUGAGAGAAAAAGGAGAGAGCAAGAGAGGAGGACCUGGCAAAAGAGAGUUUUUAUAGCCAAAAUCUAAAGGGCUCUCUGGAUCUGCAAGCUGCCUGUUGGCUACAGUGAUUGGAUCAUACAGUAAAAACUAAGGUGUCAUCUUCUGCCUUCAGGCAGAUCUUCAACAUUACAUAAAUUAAUAAAUAAAAUAAGGAUAUUGUGUUAUGUAAAAAAUAACUGUAAAGUUAUAAAGAUUAAAGUUAAAGCCCAGCAUUCUUACUUUCAAACUGGUAAAACUGACUUGCUGGAUGUUUAAGGCCAAAUUUAAAUAUUAAAGUUAAAAUAAAGGGGCCAAAGAAACCAAUAUUUGGCUCUUGCCCUGUAAGUCAGCCUGAACCCAGGACAGGGGGAAAAGCUUUGCAACUCCGGGCCACAUAACCUCCUGAUAAGGGAGAUUAAUGAGACCAAUGGAGAACAGAAAGCCAAUGAGUGUACAUGCUGCAAAAGAGGAGGGUCAUUUAAAAAGGAGACAUGCCUGAUGCUUCCAAGGGAAGCCAUAUGGCCAGCAAGACCUUGACCCAUCCUAAUGCAGAUGACACUAACAGAGCUAAAAUGCUACUCACACGUUCCCCAAGAAUGUCCUCCAAGGAAACUCAGCUGACUCUUACCAAUAGAAAGAAACACGGUCAGUUUGACCAGCUUGGUCUUAAACACCUAGCAAAAACAGUUAAAACCAAAGCACAGCCAUUCCUGGGCAUUUAAAAAGAAACAACAGUUAUUUUAAUGUAACUUAAAAUGUACACUAGUGUUAACAUCCCCCAAAAUAAGUAAGACUGGAGGCAACAAAAGAAAAAUUCUUAGGCAAAAAUGCCUGAUAACUAUCUAUAAAAAAACUGCCAGAAGUUUUUAGUCAGUUCAAGCCCUACAGAUCUUCCUAACUUCCUACACAGGUAGAUGUAAUCAAUGUAUAUUAAUAAAAUUAUCUAGCCUUAAGUAACAAAAGGAUCUUUACUGAACACAGUAGUCAUGCCAAAAAGGUAUUUUUGCAAAAAUCAGAUGACAUUAACUAAUUUAACUAAAUGUUGUGUCUACAUUCCUGAUAAUUCUGACAAUGUUAAAGAUUUAUGUUCCCUAAAAAAGUGCCUUAUUAGGCUUUGUUAGUCCUUGUUAUUGGGACAUUUUCUCAGGUCUUCUGCCUCCUGGUAAACAAUUAUUAAUUUCUGUCCAUUUCCUGAUAUUCAUGGACAGGUUCCAGAUGCUACAACUGCUAUUUUGUAUUAAUCUUACUUCAGCACUCAUGUCUUUUUGUUUCUCUCAUAGAAGUGUCCACCCCAGGUGAAUUUACAUCCUGUUCUUCCUGAGCCAGAUUUUUACCAUGGACUCCUUGACCCACUCAGUUUCUAAAAAGGGACUCCAAACUGCUUGCCAACUGCACAUCGCCCCCCUUUCAGCUGGAAGUAGCAAGAACUGUCAUUGCCCUUUUCCCUUAUGGCAGUUGGAGGUCCCUAAUAUUAGAGGAAAAAUUACGGUCAAUAUAGAUGUUCACCAAAAUGUCUAGCUCAGGAAGAUGUACCUGGGAAACUACUCCCAAGAUCACCCUGGGUGAUCUCCCAGAAAGAGACACUCCCUUCCACAACCCAACUUAUAAGUGGGACAACUCCCCGUUCACCAAAAAUUGUGCUUUUCGGUUCCCACUUUGAAAUCCUUGACUAAAUCUCCAAACUGUGAAUAACUCCGAACUAUGUAACCUAUUAUUUUGAUGGAGUAAAAGGAAAAGAACACGUGGACUUAUUAAAAGGCCAGGCCCCACUGAUUUAUCAACAUAGACUGGCUACCCCCAUUUUAGUUCCCCUCCUAGCUGGUAUCUACUGCUUUGGAAACUACAGCUCUUAUCACAAGCUCUAAAAAUUUUAAGUCCCUCAGCCAUCAAAUAAAUACAGAUUUAGGAAAACUAGAAAGGUCAAUCUCCAAACUAGAGGUUUCACUAGACUCUCUGACAGAAAUAGUCUUACAAAACAGAUGAGGUCUAGAUGGUCUCUUUCUGAAACAAGGAGGACUUUGUAUGGCUCCAGUAGAAACUUGUUUCUCUGCAAACCAUUCUGGGAUAAUAAAAAACAGUUUGGCACUUGUGAGAAACAGGUUAAAGAAAAAAAAAAGAUGAAGCACUAGAAACUUCAGGCAAUUGGUUCUAAAACAUAUUCUUAUGGUCCCCUUGGUUGACUACCAUCAUUUCAGCCAUAAUUGGGCCCCUAGUCCUUCACCUGAUUGGUAUUACUGUAGGACCCUGCCUCUUAAAAACCCUCCUAAACCAUAUACACAAAAAAAUGUAGAUGGGGUCAGACUUAUGUUCUUGCGACCACAGUAUAGUCCCUUAGACACAGAAGGAUGAAACAAAAACUGAGGCCUAAUGAUGUGCAAGAUUGACAUCAAACCUACUAAAACCAGUGGGGAAUGUGAUAGUAGGAGCAAAUGUGACUCCAUUUUGUUUUAUGACUUCAUCCUGUAAAACAACCAUGCCAAGUAGAAGAGUCAUGACUGGAGCAAGAUGUUCUUUUCCUUUUGCUAUAGAAACCUUUAAGAACACGGAACUACCUAAUGGGG
This 2625-nucleotide long non-coding RNA is filed under the name Marmota monax (woodchuck). The record is from RNAcentral. Lineage: Eukaryota; Metazoa; Chordata; Mammalia; Rodentia; Sciuridae.